AGGACUUCGUCUGUGGUCAGCAGCCUUCUGUGGAUGUUUUCUGCUCUGCCUGGACAUGAGGGACAGGCAGACCCUGAAUUCACGAGAUGCCUGGCUACCAUAGCAGCUCAGUGGUCACAAGGUGAGGACAGCAAGUUGGUGGUCAGCAGGUCAGUGGUCACGAGAUGAGUUAAAGCAGAUUAAUUUCAGCUGAAGCUGGAUCCCAGGGAUACAGUGGAAUCAAAGGAAGGGGGCUUUGGAAUCGAAUGGACACAGGUAGGAAUCCCAGCUCCAGCACUUGCCAGACGUGCGUAUGGCACACAUUUGGUUUUUCGCUGUUGUUUGUCUUAAGAACAAGAAAUGCCUUUUAGUUGUGCCUGAAAAGGCUGUGAAUCCUCCAUUUGCCUGUUACCCUUACUAGUCGGUAAGCCCACGUCUGGCACAUGUGCUAGACAAAGUGGCACAAGUUACUUGACCACUUUCAACUUGCUCCCUCUCUCUGUAAAAUAGGAGAAUGGCCACUUCACUGGACAGCUGUGAGGACUCUG
Long non-coding RNA from Diceros bicornis minor, 527 nucleotides. RefSeq lists it as uncharacterized. The transcript is spliced from 3 exons. The record is from RefSeq and is a predicted model, not a curated record. NCBI's taxonomy places the organism in Eukaryota, Metazoa, Chordata, Mammalia, Perissodactyla, Rhinocerotidae.